AUACGGGGGGAGCAAACGUUGUUCGGAAUUACUGGGCGUAAAGGGCGCGUAGGCGGGCCGGUUAGUGGAAUGUGAAAUGCCCUGGCUCAACCAGGGAACUGCAUUCCAUACUGCCAGUCUUGAGUAUAGGAGAGGAUGGGGGAAUUCCCGGUGUAGCGGUGGAAUGCAUUGAUAUCGGGAGGAACACCAGUGGCGAAGGCGCCCAUCUGGCCUAAUACUGACGCUGAGGCGCGAAAGCUAGGGGAGCAAACAGGAUUAGAAACCCCAGUAGUCC
Molecule: ribosomal RNA, 274 nt
Filed under: uncultured bacterium
Lineage: Bacteria
Description: partial 16S ribosomal RNA
Rfam family: Bacterial small subunit ribosomal RNA
Source: RNAcentral